Molecule: ribosomal RNA, 271 nt
Filed under: Polydora hoplura
Lineage: Eukaryota; Metazoa; Annelida; Polychaeta; Spionida; Spionidae
Description: partial large subunit ribosomal RNA
Rfam family: Eukaryotic large subunit ribosomal RNA
Source: RNAcentral
UCACUAAGCGGAGGAAAAGAAACUAACCAGGAUUCCCUUAGUAACGGCGAGUGAAACGGGAAGAGCCCAGCACCGAAUCCCCUGCCUGCGCAGCGGGAACUGUGGUGUUUAGGAGAGCCUGUGGAGCGGGCGGAGGCGUCCGAGUCCUUAUGAAAGGGGCUACAGCCAGAGCGGGUGUCAGUCCUCUAGGACGCCACCGUCCCGUUGCUCAGUACCUCCUCGGAGUCGGGUUGUUUGUGAAUGCAGCCCAAAGUGGGUGGUAAACUCCAUC